GCCCUAGUAGCUUAGACAUAAAGCACCGGUCUUGUAACCCGGAGAUUGAAGAUUCGACCCUUCCUAGCGCA
This 71-nucleotide transfer RNA is filed under the name Myroconger compressus (red eel). RNAcentral's name for it is "tRNA-Thr". It matches the Rfam family "tRNA". Rfam says of the family: Transfer RNA (tRNA) molecules are approximately 80 nucleotides in length. The record is from RNAcentral. Lineage: Eukaryota; Metazoa; Chordata; Actinopteri; Anguilliformes; Myrocongridae.